AUACGGAGGGUGCAAGCGUUAAUCGGAAUUACUGGGCGUAAAGCGUACGUAGGCGGUUCGUUAAGUUAGAUGUGAAAGCCCCGGGCUUAACCUGGGAACUGCAUUUAAAACUGGCGAACUAGAGUUGAGUAGAGGGGAGUGGAAUUUCAGGUGUAGCGGUGAAAUGCGUAGAGAUCUGAAGGAACACCAGUGGCGAAGGCGGCUCCCUGGACUCGAACUGACGCUGAGGUACGAAAGCGUGGGUAGCAAACGGGAUUAGAAACCCCAGUAGUCC
RNAcentral lists this ribosomal RNA (274 nucleotides) under uncultured bacterium. Its description in RNAcentral is "partial 16S ribosomal RNA". It matches the Rfam family "Bacterial small subunit ribosomal RNA", at positions 523 to 796 of the family's 1533-position model. The record is from RNAcentral.